Molecule: non-coding RNA, 219 nt
Organism: Glycine soja
Lineage: Eukaryota; Viridiplantae; Streptophyta; Magnoliopsida; Fabales; Fabaceae
Source: Rfam
AUGGAGCUUUGUUGGAAAAUAUCGAUCCAUGGUUCUUGAAGAAGUAUAGAGAUAAAGGGGUGUGAGAGGGUCCUUACCACUCACACUCCUCCACUUAAAGCAGUUUGUUUUGGCUUAGCUUUGGCUUCUCUAAUCAACAAGGGAUGUGUUCUAAUAUUCUGUCUUGAGUGGUAAAAGCAGAUAUGCUUGUUCUAAGUAUGCCUAACAUAACAGACACUU